RNAcentral lists this long non-coding RNA (1604 nucleotides) under Amborella trichopoda. Its description in RNAcentral is "long non-coding RNA (ATRI_LNC000982)". The record is from RNAcentral. Lineage: Eukaryota; Viridiplantae; Streptophyta; Magnoliopsida; Amborellales; Amborellaceae.
CCCACUCACAGCUGGAUCGGUUGUGAGAAACAUAUUCCAUUGUCUCAGGUAAUACAAUGACGUGCGGAUAAAAAUUACUCCACAAUGCAACCAAAACACAUUUUUCUUAUGAGUAAUAAUUCCAUUCAAAAGAGAAGAAAAUGAUCAGCAAGUAACUUCUAUCAAGAAACUAAAAGACAACUAAGGAAACAAAAGUAAGCACCGAAAGAAGUCCCAGAAAUUAGCCUCAAAGUUUGCGAGCUAUUCAUGAUAGAACUUCCUUUGUAGGAGAAUUACAUCAAGGACCUUCAAAGAGUACAUUAAGUAAAGGGAAACCUAAUUUUUGCCACCUUAGUUUUGUAAGAAUCUCAAACAAUGCCACCAUCCUUCACACUUUCCAAAACUACCACUGGUUUGCUUUAUCCUUCAUUGUUGCCACUUUUUAUUGACAUUUUAGUUCCCAAGCAACCCUUGUCUAAGGGCCCCAAUUGCAGUCGCUUUCUCUCCCACCUACUUUUGUUGACUAGGACAUAUUCUCGCUGCCUGUUGGUGGAACAUGGCUGGGGACAUUUUGUUUCUUCCCAACCCAAACAGCUCCAAGCUCUCCUUCACUUCCCAAAACUAGGAACUCUCUCUCUCUCUCUCUCUCUCUCUCUCUCUCUCUCUACUACUACUACUACUACUACUACUACUACUACUACUACUACUACUACUACGUACGUACUACUACUACUACUACGUACUACUACUACUACUACUACUACUACUACUACUACUACUACUUACUACUACUACUACUACUACGUACUACGUANNNNNNNNNNNNNNNNNNNNCUCGUCCGUCGUUGGUUGGGUACGAACUAGGCGUCGGGUACGGACGUUUAGUUUUCGUUUCCCUACCCAACCAACACUCCUACACUCUCCUUCCUACUACCUAACCUAACGAACGUACUCUCUCUCUCUCUCUCUCUCUCUCUCUCUCUCUACCCAAAGUAUGAAUUUCUAGACCCUCUCUACUCAACCGGAUAAUGUUUAGUUGUCUUUCUAACCUAACCUAAGAACUUAAGAUUACAUCUCUUUUGAGCAAUUUCAAUCCUAGUUUCUCUCAGCAAUCCCUUGUAGAAGUGAAUGCCCAAAGUUAUGCUGAGAAGGAAACAGAGAUGAAGGCAGUGAGAGGUGGCAAUGCAGAACAAGUACAAUAUAUGAAAUCAACUUUUUUUCAUUUUAUUUGUUUUAUUUUACUGGCUUGUCUCCUUAAAAGGGCCACUUACAACACUAUAAUAAAAAAUAAACUCUACUACAGUCUAAGGAUCACACAAUUACCGCCUCUAAACAUGAAUUUUAUUCGUAAAGAAAGAAUUAAAUAAUUAUGAAAUAUAAAUCAAGAACUAGGAAGCCACUUGAUUGAAUGAAGAUUUGCCUAGGAUCGCCUCCGUAGGAUUUAGUACAACCCACUCCACACCAAUGGUGCAGUGAUCUUAUGGUCCCUGCUUUCAAGGUGGGAAGCUACUAUGGCAAACCCUAAUUCAACCUGGGGCUGAGAGCAUAACGAAUAGAGAGAAUACUGAGAACACAAUUAGGAUUUAAGACCCUUUUUUCUGAGGCAUGAUGUCCUAGGCCUGACC